Molecule: long non-coding RNA, 487 nt
Organism: Eurytemora carolleeae
Lineage: Eukaryota; Metazoa; Arthropoda; Copepoda; Calanoida; Temoridae
Exons: 3
Source: RefSeq, a predicted model, not a curated record
CACAAUUAGGUGUUUUGCUACUAUUGCUGGAAUGAUGGCUUUGCUGUUCCCAGAAACCCUGGGAGAACCAUUACCAGAAACCAUUGAGGAUGCUGCUAGAAUUGGUAAAAAUACCUCUCGUGGUCUUUGCCAGUGUACCUGCAUAUCCCCUUUCUCUAUGUACAAGGAAGAGUUGAAAAAUGUUGAGGUGUAGAGUUCAUCUUAUUGAAUCUUUGCUCUCUAAGGAAGGAUUAAGAAGUUAUAAAAGAAAUAAAGAACAGAACGAUAGUUGGAGAUUCGUCAAAAUUAAAAACUUUUUACCUGUAAUAUGAUGUUAUAGAAAUUUUUUUUUUAAAUUCAGAAUUUUAUUUCAAAAUAUAAAUUCUGCUAGAUCUGUUACAAUAUAAGUCUUAUUAUGAAAAGUUUACACUAUCAGGUGGCAAAGAUACAGGGAUUAGUAAAGAGUUUCGAUAAGUUUACACACAUAUAUCUCUGUACUCGACGAACA